UGGGGAAUAUUGCACAAUGGGCGAAAGCCUGAUGCAGCAACGCCGCGUGAGUGAUGAAGGCCUUCGGGUUGUAAAGCUCUGUCUUUUGGGACGAUAAUGACGGUACCAAAGGAGGAAGCCACGGCUAACUACGUGCCAGCAGCCGCGGUAAUACGUAGGUGGCGAGCGUUGUCCGGAUUUACUGGGCGUAAAGGAUGCGUAGGCGGAUAUUUAAGUGAGAUGUGAAAUUCCCGGGCUUAACUUGGGAGCUGCAUUUCAAACUGGAUAUCUAGAGUGUGGGAGAGGAAAAUGGAAUUCCUAGUGUAGCGGUGAAAUGCGUAGAGAUUAGGAAGAACACCAGUGGCGAAGGCGAUUCUCUGGACCAUAACUGACGCUGAGGCAUGAAAGCGUGGGUAGCAAACAG
RNAcentral lists this ribosomal RNA (403 nucleotides) under uncultured bacterium. RNAcentral describes it as "bacterial SSU rRNA". It matches the Rfam family "Bacterial small subunit ribosomal RNA", at positions 355 to 775 of the family's 1533-position model. The record is from RNAcentral.